AUCCAGCUGACGAGUCCCAAAUAAGAGAAAACGCGCAUCCUGGAU
This is a non-coding RNA of Schistosoma mansoni, 45 nucleotides long. The record is from Rfam. NCBI's taxonomy places the organism in Eukaryota, Metazoa, Platyhelminthes, Trematoda, Strigeidida, Schistosomatidae.